ACANGANGANGNCUGACGCAGCGACGCCGCGNUGAAGUGAUGAAGGCCUUAGGGUCGUAAAGCUCUGUUGAAUGGGAAGAAAAAAAUGACGGUACCAUUCGAGGAAGGACCGGCUAACUUCGUGCCAGCAGCCGCGGUAAUACGAGGGGUCCUAGCGUUGUUCGGAAUCAUUGGGCGUAAAGGGUGUGUAGGUGGCUAUGUAAGUCAGGUGUGAAAGCCCCGGGCUCAACCCGGGAAGUGCAUCUGAUACUGCGUAGCUUGAGUACCGAAGAGGAUAGUGGAAUUCCAGGUGUAGUGGUGAAAUACGUAGAUAUCUGGAGGAACACCGGUGGCGAAGGCGGCUAUCUGGUCGAGUACUGACACUGAGACACGAAAGCAUGGGGAUCAAACAGGAUUAGAUACCCUGGUAGUCCAUGCCGUAAACGAUGGGUACUUGGUGUUGGAGGUAUUGACCCCUUCAGUGCCGAAGCUAACGCGUUAAGUACCCCGCCUGGGGAGUACGGUCGCAAGAUUAAAACUCAAAGAAAUUGACGGGGGCCCGCACAAGCGGUGGAGCAUGUGGUUUAAUUCGAUGCAACGCGAAAAACCUUACCUAGGCUCGAAAUGCAAUGGAAUAUAGCAGAAACGUUAUAGUCUUCGGACCGCUGUAUAGGUGCUGCAUGGCUGUCGUCAGCUCGUGUCGUGAGAUGUUGGGUUAAGUCCCGCAACGAGCGCAACCCCUACCUUUAGUUGCCAGCAUUAAGUUGGGCACUCUAGAGGGACUGCCGACGUUAAGUCGGAGGAAGGUGGGGAUGACGUCAAGUCCUCAUGGCCCUUAUGUCUAGGGCUACACACGUGCUACAAUGGUUGGUACAAACGGUUGCUUAGCAGUAAUGUGAAGCUAACCCGAAAAAGCCA
This 897-nucleotide ribosomal RNA is filed under the name uncultured bacterium. RNAcentral's name for it is "bacterial SSU rRNA". It matches the Rfam family "Bacterial small subunit ribosomal RNA", at positions 371 to 1284 of the family's 1533-position model. The record is from RNAcentral.